CUCAGUGCGCCCCAAUCAUUAUACUCUGUCUUCCACCACAUCCCUAACUCAGCCAUGAAUCCAGUGAACCAACCUUUCACCCAGAGAAGCUCUCACCUCUUGUGCUCUUGCCUGUCUUUAUUGUCACCGAUGAGAACUGCUCAUCUCCCGUCACCAUCUCGGUCUCUAGAAGUUGUCUGUCGCAUCGCCGUCUCUGCCCGCGUGGUCAUCGUCGGUUCCGAUCUACUGCUGGCCCGUCCUCUCUUCUCCAAUAAGCACCAAUAUUUCUUUCAAUUUGUGAUGUUAAAAUGUGAUUAUGGAAUUUAAAAUGACUAGGAAAGGUCGUUACACGAAAAAACCAAAAUUGGGAUCAGGAUGUCAGCAACCUCAAACGACUCCGUCUCUGGCUUCAGCUUUUCACCACGAUGACUCUCAAAUUUCCCCGGCCAACGGUGAUGGUGUUCUUACAACCUCACGCCCGUUUCGUUUAUCGCGCAGUGAACCAAGGCCUGCUCCACAGACGAGCACAAAUAGCAAUCAGAACUCAGAGAUAGGCCACGUAAACUUGGACGCUAAUGCAAACGAGGUAGAUUUUCUUAAUCAAAAAGUUGAUGACCUCUUUGUUGCUUUUGAUGCUCAGAGUCGCAAAAGACGCAAGACUACAGAGUUUUUGAUGGUUAAGAUCAUCAGUAACGUAUUUAAUAAUUUUUCUUUGAUCAAUUUACGCUAGACUCUAUGUUAUUUAUUAGUCUUCGUGCAUGCUGUCCAUAAUGGAGACACAUAUAAGGUAUUAUAUUUGGCUUAUAGAUUUCGAUGGCACAAUCAAGCCGGCAAAAUUUAUAUUUGGCUUAUAGAUUUUGAUGGCACAAUUAAGCCGGAAAAAUUAAGUGUGAGGGAGGCUAUGGAACGGCCUAACGGUAGAAGGAUCAUGCUUAAGUUCAACAACGAAAAGCAGGCAAUUGGAGACAAAGGCGGACUGUUGAGUGGCGUUCUUAGUCUGCUAAGAUCUGACUAUGAAAAAUUUUCUAUUUGUGAGGAAAGUUGGCGUAAGAUUACCACUAAAGACAAGGUUUAUAAAGAAUGUGUCAAGGUAAAAGUUUAUAUCCGUGUUGAAUUAAAUCUGCUUAUUUGUUACAAGUAUUAACAAAUUGUAUUAUCUAUGUAGCAAAUUUUCCACUUUGAUGAAGAUAGUGAAAGAACUAUCAAUAAAAAUAUUUUGAAAAGUAUAGGGAACUCUUGGAAGGAUACAAGGCUGAGGUUGUAUGAUGCUCAUUACGAGCCAACAUCAACGACUGAACAAAGUAUUGAGAACCGUCCGCCGGGAAUUGAUCGAAAGCAUUGGAGAUGGUUCCUUGACUAUCGCGCCAAAGCUAAGAUGCAGGAGAAGUGCAAAAAAAAACGAUAAAUCGAUCAAAACAACUUUAUACCUACAUUGGCGGUUCGAAAAGCUUCGCAUGGUGGAGGAAAAAAGAGUAAUGGCAUAAACUUUGUUGUUACAUUCGGAACAAUAAGGAAGGAGAGUUAUGGAUCAAAGUGCACAAAAAAAGGAUGGCUCCUAUAUCAAUGAUGAAGCAAGAGCAAUUGGUGAAAGACUUGAGGAGAUUGAGCAACAGGAUGAGUCUUCCAGAGUGUUGUCUCAAAAUGAUUCCAUUGCUUAAGUUCUCGAAAAAGAGAAACCGGGUAGAGUGCGUGGUGUGGGUUUUAGACCAACUCCUAAUCAACUCUUCGAUCCAAAUUCGCAUCCGUCGAGCAACGGAGUCUAAGUAGAGGAGACCUAGAGGAAGCUGAUGAAUGAACUACAGGCAGAGCUGGAAGUCGAGAAGUUGAAAAUUAAAAGAAGGCGAUGGAGGAUGAAGCAGCAACAGAGAAGAAAAGGAGGAAGGUGACAGAGAGUGCUUAGAUUUAUCUAUUUCAACGGUAGGGUGAGGAGCUGCCACCAGACAUCGCUGCAGGAAUGAGUUCAGUGGAAUGAUAGAGUGAAAUAUAGUAUAUUAGGAUUGGAGAUAUUUUGGAUUAAAGCAAAUAUUUUUUUGAAGUAGACUAUGCAAUUUUUUGUAAGAGAUUUGUUUUCUUGAUA
This is a long non-coding RNA of Arachis stenosperma, 2056 nucleotides long. RefSeq lists it as uncharacterized. The transcript has 5 exons. The record is from RefSeq and is a predicted model, not a curated record. Lineage: Eukaryota; Viridiplantae; Streptophyta; Magnoliopsida; Fabales; Fabaceae.